This 97-nucleotide ribosomal RNA is filed under the name Citrobacter freundii. The record is from RNAcentral. Lineage: Bacteria; Pseudomonadati; Pseudomonadota; Gammaproteobacteria; Enterobacterales; Enterobacteriaceae. RNAcentral also lists the same sequence under 20 other names.
GGUCCCACCUGACCCCAUGCCGAACUCAGAAGUGAAACGCCGUAGCGCCGAUGGUAGUGUGGGGUCUCCCCAUGCGAGAGUAGGGAACUGCCAGGCA